Molecule: transfer RNA, 54 nt
Filed under: Argiope ocula
Lineage: Eukaryota; Metazoa; Arthropoda; Arachnida; Araneae; Araneidae
Description: tRNA-Asn
Source: RNAcentral
GAUUAAGAAGCAAUGCAAUUCAUUGUUACUGAAUAAAAGUUAUUUUUUUUUUUU